UAAGAAUUUGUAUACCCAUUGGAGCUUAAGGGGGAAAAGCAUGCGAACGAGUUUGAGGCUGAUUGGAAAAAAAAUGAGCAUGAAGACGACUGAUCAGUAGAUUGAUCAGGUGUGUUCUACUAUGUCUUGCAGAAAACAAAUAUUUAUAAACCUUAGAUUACAUUAGAGUCCAUGUACGAGAAUAAAACAUUUGUAAUUCGAAAUAUCAUGAACCUGAAUUACAAAAAUAAUAGCAGUGUACCGAGCAUAUUGGUGAAACUUCAGUGUGAGGAUGCAUGUAGCAGUUUCUACCCUAAUUGAAAAAGGAAGAAGGCUAAUGGUGGUGGAAUCCUUAUCAGGAUUUUAAUGGCAACUUAAUUAAAG
Molecule: long non-coding RNA, 363 nt
Filed under: Panax ginseng (ginseng)
Lineage: Eukaryota; Viridiplantae; Streptophyta; Magnoliopsida; Apiales; Araliaceae
Description: long non-coding RNA (PGIN_LNC019085)
Source: RNAcentral